GCUCAGGAUGAACGCUGGCGGCGUGCUUAACACAUGCAAGUCGAACGGGAAUUACUUUAUUGAAACUUCGGUCGAUUUAAUUUAAUUCUAGUGGCGGACGGGUGAGUAACGCGUGGGUAACCUGCCUUAUACAGGGGGAUAACAGUCAGAAAUGGCUGCUAAUACCGCAUAAGCGCACAGAGCUGCAUGGCUCAGUGUGAAAAACUCCGGUGGUAUAAGAUGGACCCGCGUUGGAUUAGCUUGUUGGUGGGGUAACGGCCCACCAAGGCGACGAUCCAUAGCCGGCCUGAGAGGGUGAACGGCCACAUUGGGACUGAGACACGGCCCAGACUCCUACGGGAGGCAGCAGUA
This 351-nucleotide ribosomal RNA is filed under the name uncultured bacterium. RNAcentral's name for it is "bacterial SSU rRNA". It matches the Rfam family "Bacterial small subunit ribosomal RNA", at positions 22 to 356 of the family's 1533-position model. The record is from RNAcentral.